Molecule: non-coding RNA, 370 nt
Organism: Pelobates cultripes (western spadefoot toad)
Lineage: Eukaryota; Metazoa; Chordata; Amphibia; Anura; Pelobatidae
Source: the annotation of a GenBank genome assembly
GGUUAGGGUUAUAGGGGGAGUUACACAGGGUUAGGGUUAUAGGGGGGAGUUACGCAGGGUUAGGGUUAUAGGGGGAGUUACACAGGGUUAGGGUUAUAGGGGGAGUUACGCAGGGUUAGGGUUAUAGGGGGAGUUACGCAGGGUUAGGGUUAUAGGGGGAGUUACGCAGGGUUAGGGUUAUAGGGGGAGUUACACAGGGUUAGGGUUAUAGGGGGAGUUACACAGGAUUAGGGUUAUAGGGGGAGUUACACAGGAUUAGGGUUAUAGGGGGAGUUACACAGGGUUAGGGUUAUAGGGGGAGUUACAUAGGGUUAGGGUUAUAGGGGGAGUUACCCAGGGUUAGGGUUACAGGGGGAGUUACACAGGGUUA